UGGCAGUGUAUUGUUAGCUGGUUGAAUAUCUGAAUGCACCAGCUAACAUGCAACUGCUGUC
RNAcentral lists this microRNA precursor (61 nucleotides) under Sarcophilus harrisii (Tasmanian devil). RNAcentral describes it as "Sha-Mir-34-P3c_pre stem-loop". The record is from RNAcentral. Lineage: Eukaryota; Metazoa; Chordata; Mammalia; Dasyuromorphia; Dasyuridae.